UACGUAGGGUGCGAGCGUUGUCCGGAUUUAUUGGGUUUAAAGGGUGCGUAGGCGGCUUAAUAAGUCAGUGGUGAAAGCCGAUCGCUUAACGAUCGAACUGCCAUUGAUACUGCUAGGCUUGAGUAUAGUUGAGGUAGGCGGAAUUGACAGUGUAGCGGUGAAAUGCAUAGAUAUUGUCAAGAACACCAAUUGCGAAGGCAGCUUACUAAAGUAUAACUGACGCUGAGGCACGAAAGUGCGGGGAUCAAACAGG
This 253-nucleotide ribosomal RNA is filed under the name uncultured bacterium. RNAcentral describes it as "partial 16S ribosomal RNA". It matches the Rfam family "Bacterial small subunit ribosomal RNA", at positions 524 to 776 of the family's 1533-position model. The record is from RNAcentral.